UAGCGGCAUCAGCAUGUAAUUCUGGUACGUGUCAAUCACAGCAAUGCUCUUGCUGCAACCUCCCUCUUUUCAACCUUUUCUUAUCAAAUCAAAUCUAAUCUCUGACUGCUCUCUUCAGGCUCACUCUCCUUUAAUCUCAAAUUCUCUUUUGUGCAGGAUGCCAGUGAUUAAAUGUGUGCUUUUCAGCAUGUGAUUGUCGGAGAAAGAAGCUUUAUUGGUGGAGAAUGGUGUCUCUGAUGUCUUUGUCUCAAGAGUUGAUGGCUACGAUGAUGAUCUUGGUGACAAAGCCCUUUUGCCUUUGCAAAUCAGCAAUUCUGUUUUGUUUAAAAACCACUUUUUUCGUCGUUUAUAGCUGGAUAGACCUGGUCAAUGCCACUACCAGCUUCCAUGUCAACAUGAUUUGCAGAACAAUGUCUUGGACAGUUGCUCUUAUAAGUCUUCCUCUUCGAGUUUUUACCGCCCUGCAGAGGGAAACAGUGCUGGAACAGCAACUGCAUGAAAUGCAGUUAGAGUUAGAGACCCUUGCCUGGGAUAGAAAGGAACUCGAAGGUCAUCUUCAGACAGCCAUUGAAGAACAUAAAAGUAUGGAGUCCAUGCUAGCUGAACUUGAAGAUGAAAAUGACAAGGCUAUGGCAAAAAUUGAAUUAUUAGAGGGCAAGUUGCAGUGUAUGAAGGAUGAAACUCUUCAGCUUAAGGAAAUUUGCAGUAAAGAACGGUGGAGUCUUAAAGUUAAUGAUAAAGUCAGUGGACGAAAAGUUGGUGUUGCUGCUGACAACUAUGACAUUUCCUAUGGAUGUCCAUCAUGGAAAUCCAAUUUUAAGGGGACUGACUUCUUUUUUCAAGACAUGAUGAUGCACAAAGACUCUUGGGCCAGUGAAAGCAUGAGUAAUGCUGAAUUUCUCAAUAUCUUAAAGACUGGAAUUGCGGCAAGCAGUGGGUCCAUCCACUCCUACACGCCUGGUGUUAUCCCAAGAAAUAUAGAAAUGAAUGAAGUGCUUGACCAGAGAAGGGGAGUUGCUCUUUUGCAGUCUCUUUUUAGCGCAGGGUUGUCGCUUUUGGUCGGAAUGAUUAUCUGGGAAGCUGAAGACCCUUGCAUGCCACUUGUGGUAGCUCUUUUCACAGUGGUCGGCAUUUCACUGAAAAGCGUCGUUCAUUUUUUCUCCACCAUAAAGAACAAACCUGCUUCUGAUGCCGUGGCUCUAUUAAGCUUCAACUGGUUUAUACUUGGCACACUUACAUGCCCAACGCUGCCAAAGGUUGCCCGCGUGUUGGCUCCCCUCACAUUCAGGUUUGUAGGUCAGACAGUGAGCUGGUUUGGUUUCUCAACACACUAGCUUGAUCUCACUCAGAUUCCUGGAAAUCACCCAACCAUGUAUCAUGUCUGACCAUAGAUAAAGCAGUCACCCAGAGCUUGUAUAGUAAAAGCUUCCUUUCACUUUCUUUGUCAUGUCAAUAUCCGCCUGGCACAAUUUUCACUCGUUGAACAAAGGAGACUUAAAUAUGGAAAAUCUAUGUUGAGACUUCAAUUUACUCCCGUCUAAGUUUUUUGGAUGUAAUUGUUACUUGAGUGAUGCAGGUUUUAUGUGUAGACACAGAUGUUCUGCAGUCUGCACCGUGCGUUAAUAUUAAGAAGAAGUAGCAAUUUGUGGACA
Molecule: RNA transcript, 1652 nt
Organism: Mangifera indica (mango)
Lineage: Eukaryota; Viridiplantae; Streptophyta; Magnoliopsida; Sapindales; Anacardiaceae
Exons: 5
Source: RefSeq, a predicted model, not a curated record